GUGGAAGGGCGGCGGCUACCAUGCAAGUCGAGCGGUAACAGAUCCAGCUUGCUGGAUGCUGACGAGCGGCGGACGGGUGAGUAAUGCAUAGGAAUCUGCCCGAUAGUGGGGGAUAACCUGGGGAAACCCAGGCUAAUACCGCAUACGUCCUACGGGAGAAAGGGGGCUUCGGCUCCCGCUAUCGGAUGAGCCUAUGUCGGAUUAGCUAGUUGGUGAGGUAACGGCUCACCAAGGCCACGAUCCGUAGCUGGUCUGAGAGGAUGAUCAGCCACAUCGGGACUGAGACACGGCCCGAACUCCUACGGGAGGCAGCAGUGGGGAAUAUUGGACAAUGGGGGGAACCCUGAUCCAGCCAUGCCGCGUGUGUGAAGAAGGCCCUCGGGUUGUAAAGCACUUUCAGCGAGGAAGAACGCCUAGCGGUUAAUACCCGCUAGGAAAGACAUCACUCGCAGAAGAAGCACCGGCUAACUCCGUGCCAGCAGCCGCGGUAAUACGGAGGGUGCAAGCGUUAAUCGGAAUUACUGGGCGUAAAGCGCGCGUAGGUGGCUUGAUAAGCCGGUUGUGAAAGCCCCGGGCUCAACCUGGGAACGGCAUCCGGAACUGUCAAGCUAGAGUGCAGGAGAGGAAGGUAGAAUUCCCGGUGUAGCGGUGAAAUGCGUAGAGAUCGGGAGGAAUACCAGUGGCGAAGGCGGCCUUCUGGACUGACACUGACACUGAGGUGCGAAAGCGUGGGUAGCAAACAGGAUUAGAUACCUUUGUUAGUC
This 764-nucleotide ribosomal RNA is filed under the name Vreelandella aquamarina. Its description in RNAcentral is "bacterial SSU rRNA". It matches the Rfam family "Bacterial small subunit ribosomal RNA", at positions 28 to 795 of the family's 1533-position model. Lineage: Bacteria; Pseudomonadati; Pseudomonadota; Gammaproteobacteria; Oceanospirillales; Halomonadaceae. The record is from RNAcentral.